UACGGAGGGUGCAAGCGUUGUCCGGAAUCACUGGGCGUAAAGGGCGCGUAGGCGGCUCAUGAAGGCUGUGGUGAAAGUCCGGGGCUCAACCUCGGAUCGGCCGUGGCGACUCGUGGGCUGGAGCACUGUAGAGGCGGGUGGGAUUCCGGGUGUAGCGGUGGAAUGCGUAGAGAUCCGGAAGAACACCGGUGGCGAAGGCGUUCUGCUGGGCAGUUGCUGACACUGAGGCGCGACAGCGUGGGGAGCAAACAGG
Molecule: ribosomal RNA, 253 nt
Filed under: uncultured bacterium
Lineage: Bacteria
Description: partial 16S ribosomal RNA
Rfam family: Bacterial small subunit ribosomal RNA
Source: RNAcentral